GUGAGGAAUAUUGCGCAAUGGAGGCAACUCUGACGCAGCCAUGCCGCGUGCAGGAAGAAGGCGCUACGCGUUGUAAACUGCUUUUAACCGGGAAGAAACCCCAGGACGUGUCCUGGGUUGACGGUACCGGAGGAAUAAGCGCCGGCUAACUUCGUGCCAGCAGCCGCGGUAAUACGAAGGGUGCAAGCGUUAUCCGGAUUCAUUGGGUUUAAAGGGUGCGUAGGCGGAGCGUUAAGUCAGUGGUGAAAUCCUGCAGCUUAACUGUAGACUUGCCAUUGAUACUGGCGCUCUUGAGUGCGCUUGAAGUGGGCGGAAUGUGCCGUGUAGCGGUGAAAUGCUUAGAUAUGGCACAGAACACCAAUUGCGAAGGCAGCUCACUAAGGCGAUACUGACGCUGAGGCACGAAAGCGUGGGGAUCGAACAGGAUUAGAAACCCUAGUAGUCC
Molecule: ribosomal RNA, 445 nt
Filed under: uncultured bacterium
Lineage: Bacteria
Description: partial 16S ribosomal RNA
Rfam family: Bacterial small subunit ribosomal RNA
Source: RNAcentral